UACGUAGGUGACAAGCGUUGUCCGGAUUCACUGGGCGUAAAGAGCGCGCAGGCGGUCGUUCAAGUCGAGUGUGAAAGCCCCCGGCUCAACUGGGGAGGGUCAUUCGAUACUGAUCGACUCGAAGGCAGGAGAGGGAAGUGGAAUUCCCGGUGUAGUGGUGAAAUGCGUAGAUAUCGGGAGGAACACCAGUGGCGAAGGCGACUUCCUGGCCUGUUCUUGACGCUGAGGCGCGAAAGCUAGGGGAGCAAACGGG
This 253-nucleotide ribosomal RNA is filed under the name uncultured bacterium. RNAcentral's name for it is "partial 16S ribosomal RNA". It matches the Rfam family "Bacterial small subunit ribosomal RNA", at positions 524 to 776 of the family's 1533-position model. The record is from RNAcentral.